RNAcentral lists this ribosomal RNA (447 nucleotides) under uncultured bacterium. Its description in RNAcentral is "bacterial SSU rRNA". It matches the Rfam family "Bacterial small subunit ribosomal RNA", at positions 355 to 825 of the family's 1533-position model. The record is from RNAcentral.
UGGGGAAUCUUGGACAAUGGGCGCAAGCCUGAUCCAGCCAUGCCGCGUGAGUGAAGAAGGCCUUCGGGUUGUAAAGCUCUUUUACCAGGGACGAUAAUGACGGUACCUGGAGAAUAAGCCCCGGCAAACUUCGUGCCAGCAGCCGCGGUAAUACGAAGGGGGCUAGCGUUGUUCGGAUUUACUGGGCGUAAAGCGCGUGUAGGCGGGUCGUUAAGUUGGGGGUGAAAUCCCGAGGCUCAACCUCGGAACUGCCUCCAAAACUGGCGACCUGGAGCAAGAUAGAGGCGAGUGGAAUUCCGAGUGUAGAGGUGAAAUUCGUAGAUAUUCGGAGGAACACCAGUGGCGAAGGCGACUCGCUGGAUCUUUGCUGACGCUGAGACGCGAAAGCGUGGGGAGCAAACAGGAUUAGAUACCCCCGUAGUCCCUGAGCGGGCUGGCAAGGCGCAU